Molecule: non-coding RNA, 1966 nt
Organism: Jatropha curcas
Lineage: Eukaryota; Viridiplantae; Streptophyta; Magnoliopsida; Malpighiales; Euphorbiaceae
Source: RefSeq, a predicted model, not a curated record
CCCCAGAAAAUAAUGAAGCUUCCCUAAAUCCUUGAGUAAAAAUUUUGAACUCAAGUAUUGUUGUAGUUGUUCUUCCAACGGAGAGCUACUGCCUGUCAAAAGUAAAUCAUCAACAUAUGUCAAACAAUUUAGCACAUCUUUGCCUUUCGGAAAAACAAAUAGUGAUGUAUCAAGCUUGGAUUGAACAAAGCCAAAUUGUAGAAGAGCUUCUUUCAAACAACGAUUCCAUUGCCGCGGCGUGUGUUUCAGUCCAUAGAGAGAUUUUCGUAACCGACAUACAUAAUGUGGUUUAGAAAUAUCAAUAAAGCCCGGAGGUUGCUGCAUGUAAACUGGUUCAUCUAAUUUGCCAUGAAGAAAGGCAUUUGAAACAUCAUAUUGUUUAACAAACCAUUUGUUUGAAGUAGCAAGACUCAACACCAGUCGAAUUGUAACUAGUUUUACAACAGGAGAAAACGUUUCUCCAAAAUCUACUCCUGGCCUCUGGUGAAAUCCCUUAGCAACGAGCCCUCUGUUUCACCCAAGAAAGAUUGAUUAAAUCAUCAAAAAUUUAGAGCGUGAAGUGCAAUGAAGUCCAAUUAGAUCUAUGCUUUUGAGGUACCCAGAUUAGUAUUAUCAAUUAGAAUAAUUUAUGCCUUGUAGCGUUCUAUAGUGCCAUCUGCAUUCUCCUUCACUUUAAACACCCAUUUACAACCAAUUACAUUGCAUUAGGUGGUGGUUCAACAAGCUCCUAAGUCCUAAGCUGAAUCAACGAAUUGAGUUCAUUAUCAAGAGCCUCUCGCCACUCUUUAUACUUCUUAGCUUCAGUCACAGUAGCUGGUUGAAGUGGCGGCUUAACGACAAAGAGAACCUUUGGUUUUGAAUGACCCGUCUUUGACCUGGUAAGCAUAGGAUGAGUAUUCACCACACGAAGAGGUUGAGGAAGGAGAGAACCUGCUGAAUCUGCUUGAGAUUGGGGCGUGGACAGCGGCAACAACAUAGACAAAUCAGGAGCAGUAGACAAAUCGGUUAAGGGCACCAAUGGAGUAAAUAGUGGUGUAGAAUUGGAAACAACCACUGGUUGACGUUGCGAGGACUGUUGCGGUAUCAAAUGGAACGGCGGAGGGCCAAGAAUCCCUGGAUUUGAGUGUACUGCAGUGGGAACAUUAGAAACCUGCAACUAAAAAGAUUUAAAUGGAAAGUGAGUCUCAUCAAACACCACAUGUCUGGAAAUAUACAACCUCUUAGCCAUAACAUCAUAACAUUUGUAGCCUUUAUGCACCAAACUAUACCCAAGAAAAAUACAUGGGGAGGACCUAUCUUCCAGUUUGUGUUUAUUGUAUGGACGUAAAUAUGGAAAACAAAGGCACCCAAAUGUGCGAAGAGUAGUCAAAUCAGGCAUAGUUCCAAACAACUUCUCAUAGGGCGAGGUAUGCAGUAGUGGUGUAACCAGCCGAUUAAUAAUAUAAGCUGCAGUUUCAAAAGCAAAAUCCCAGUAAUCAAGAGGCAAAGUAGCAUAAUUUAACAUAGCCAAGCCAGUUUCCACAAUAUGCCUAUGUUUGCGCUCAGCAGAGCCAUUCUGCUGAGGCGUAUAAGGACAAGACAGUCUCAAAGAAAUCCCAUUGUCAGACAAAUAUGCAGCCAAAGACCGAAAUUCCCCUCCCCAAUCACACUGAAACAUCUUUAUCUUAGUAGUGAAGAAAGUCUCAACAAAUUUUUGAAAUUUAAUAAAAGUAGACAGCACAUAUGAUUUUCAUUUGAGACAAUAUAACCAGGAAUUCUUGCUGUAGUGGUCGUAAAAAAGAACAUAGUAACGAUUGCCAUUAAUAGAAGAAACAGGGGAUGGACCCCAUACAUCAGAACAAACAAGCUCAAGAGGAGCAGAAGCAGUAAAAGUAGACAUUGGAAAAGACAAACGAUGUGAUUUACUGACACAGCAAGAAGAACAAAGUUCCUUUUUAUUGGAAGAAAAAACAAUAUUAUUAUGUUU